GACGAACGCUGGCGGCGUGCUUAACACAUGCAAGUCGAACGGAAAGGCCCUGCUUUUGUGGGGUGCUCGAGUGGCGAACGGGUGAGUAACACGUGAGUAACCUGCCCUUGACUUUGGGAUAACUUCAGGAAACUGGAGCUAAUACCGGAUAGGAGCUCCUGCUGCAUGGUGGGGGUUGGAAAGUUUCGGCGGUUGGGGAUGGACUCGCGGCUUAUCAGCUUGUUGGUGGGGUAGUGGCUUACCAAGGCUUUGACGGGUAGCCGGCCUGAGAGGGUGACCGGCCACAUGGGGACUGAGAUACGGCCCAGACUCCUACGGGAGGCAGCAGUGGGGAAUAUUGCACAAUGGGCGGAAGCCUGAUGCAGCAACGCCGCGUGCGGGAUGACGGCCUUCGGGUUGUAAACCGCUUUCGCCUGUGACGAAGCGUGAGUGACGGUAAUGGGUAAAGAAGCACCGGCUAACUACGU
RNAcentral lists this ribosomal RNA (467 nucleotides) under uncultured bacterium. RNAcentral describes it as "partial 16S ribosomal RNA". It matches the Rfam family "Bacterial small subunit ribosomal RNA", at positions 28 to 506 of the family's 1533-position model. The record is from RNAcentral.